This 301-nucleotide ribosomal RNA is filed under the name uncultured bacterium. RNAcentral's name for it is "partial 16S ribosomal RNA". It matches the Rfam family "Bacterial small subunit ribosomal RNA", at positions 509 to 807 of the family's 1533-position model. The record is from RNAcentral.
CAGUAGCCACGGUAAUACAGAGGGUGCGAGCGUUAAUCGGAUUUACUGGGCGUAAAGCGUGCGUAGGCGGCUUCUUAAGUCGGAUGUGAAAUCCCUGAGCUUAACUUAGGAAUUGCAUUCGAUACUGGGAAGCUAGAGUAUGGGAGAGGAUGGUAGAAUUCCAGGUGUAGCGGUGAGAUGCGUAGAGAUCUGGAGGAAUACCGAUGGCGAAGGCAGCCAUCUGGCCUAAUACUGACGCUGAGGUACGAAAGCAUGGGGAGCAAACAGGAUUAGAUACCCCCGUAGUCCCUGUCUCUUAUAC